AGUAGAAUGACUGAGGUAAAAUAGGUGAUAGAUUGUAAAUCUAUUAAGGGGUUAAUUGAAUUCCCUUCUACUA
Molecule: transfer RNA, 73 nt
Filed under: Melanozosteria nitida
Lineage: Eukaryota; Metazoa; Arthropoda; Insecta; Blattodea; Blattidae
Description: tRNA-Tyr
Source: RNAcentral